Non-coding RNA from Taeniopygia guttata (zebra finch), 2389 nucleotides. NCBI's taxonomy places the organism in Eukaryota, Metazoa, Chordata, Aves, Passeriformes, Estrildidae. The record is from RefSeq and is a predicted model, not a curated record.
GUGUGCAAGGGCCCUUUGUGACACGGUGCAGCAUGGUCACCGUGGAAUGGAACGGGACAGGGUAUCCAAGGGCCCUUUGUGACACGGUGCAGCAUGGUCACCGUGGAAUGGAACAGGACAGGGUAUCCAAGGGCCCUUUGUGACACGGUGCAGCAUGGUCACCGUGGAAUGGAACGGGACAGGGUAUCCAAGGGCCCUUUGUGACACGGUGCAGCAUGGUCACCAUGGAAUGGAACGGGACAGGGUAUCCAAGGGCCCUUUGUGACACACUGUGGCAAAGGUGUUGGCAGUGACAAGGCCACUCCACAGUGCUCGGUGCACGUGACAAGACAGGAUGGAGAGAGCGGUGCUGUGAGGAGCCCUCGCACAGCCACUCGUUCCUUGCUGACCUGGAGCUUUCCCGAGGUAUUACUCCUGCAGGUGACCUCGUGGCCAGACCAGAGCACUUGGUGACCUCUGGCCUUCCUGAGGCAUCUCUUCUGCAGCUGCCCUCGAGGGCAGAUUGUGGCAUUUGCUUUGCACUGUCCUUGACAGGAGUCUCCUGUCCUUGUGGCUGGAGCCCCCAAGACCAGAGUGCAGGAUUUGCUGUCCUGUAGCCUUGCCAAGACUUCACUCUUGCAGGUGCCCUCAAGGCACAACUGCAGCACUUGCUGACUCGGACCUUUUCCUUUUCACCUUCUGCAAGUAGCCAUGAAUCCAGGCAGUGACGUAGAGCACAGACCUGCGAGCGUGCCCAAGCUGGCCUGGGGGAAGGAGGAGAAAGAAGGCCCUGGAGCUGCCCCAGCACAGCAGCCUGAAAAGGUGGAGCAGUUCCAGCCACCACAGAAGGGUGCAGCCGUGCAGCGCACACGAGAGCAGGAACGCACCCGUGGCCGCUUCCGCAGAACAGCGCAGGUACCUGCAGCCAUCCCCACCUGGGCUGGGCCUGCUGGCACUGCUCAGCCCAGCACUGUGCUCGGAGCACUCCAUGCAACAUCCCGGGCUUCUUGCCCUUCUGCUACAGAUGGUUUGCAAAUUCAUGAAGAGGAUUCAGGAGGAAGAGAGCAGCGUCAUGGGCACUGUGGUCAGAGCCCAAGACCAAGUGCUGCCCUGCUGGAUAUGCUUGUGGAGGAGGGUCCUUCCAGCCCAAAGCAACUGCCUGCCAUGGUGAGGUACAUCCUCGUGGCCAAUGAGUUUCCUGAGUACAAUCUGUACAGGCCCCUUCUGGAUCUGACAGAGGCACAGCCCUCUGACGUGGUGAUGGCUCUCCUGCGUGUGGCCCCAGUGUGUGACAGAGCUGCUUUGGCCAUGUGGAAGAGCAUCAUGUGCUCGCCCAGGACUGCAGAGCCGGCCAUGCUCGUACUCCUCGAUGUGCUGGGGAGCUGGCCAGAGCACAGCACGUGCACCUCCGAUGGGGACCACACGGCUGUCCUUGCCCUGGCUGCAACUGUGGUGAUGUGGAAGAUCCUCCAGCUGCCCUGUGUGCCACAGAUGGUGACCGUGUAUUUCCCCCGCCUGUUUGUCCAUCUGCUCUUCCAAGUGUUCUUCAGCACUCUGGAUAUGCCAGAGGAGGUCGAUACCUUCUGGAAGGGAUGUCAGCAGCAACACGGCCUUGCCUCCAACCCCAGCAGGUUUGCAGUGCGGACCCUGAAGUCCCUGCUCUGCCAAAUGCAGCACGAGGAUGUGGUGGUGGCAAUGGAACGCAAGUGUGGCUGGGACACGCUGCUCUGUGCUGACACCCACCACUGUGCCGUGGGUCUGCUGGCCAGGGAGAUGUCCUGUGUCUCCAUCCCCUUGUGCUCUCGGAUCGCUCGCUACCUGCUCCGGCUGCUCAGCACACAGGAGCCACGCUGGGAGCUGCCCUCCCUGGCGUUCCUUGUGGAGGUCCUCGAGUGCCUGGAAUUGAGUGAACGCGGUGCUGACAGAGUCCUGCAAAUCUUGUCACGGCACCUGAGGAGCGAGUGCAAGGAGAGGCGUCACCUGGCGCUCAGGGCCCUUCUCGAGCUCAUCAAGGAUCCCUCGAUGAGAGAAAAAAUGUGGAGCCUGACUGAAAGUCUUGUGGAGCUCCUGUGGGAUGCGAUGGAGAGAUAGUUAGCAUGACAGUCAUGCUCCUCAACUUUAUCAUCUUGGACAAGGACAUGCUGAUAGCCAGCCCCAUCACACUGCAGCUGGUUGAGGCGCUCCUGCCACUCCUUGACCACGACAAUAGCCAAGUGCAGCUGCUCUCCAUACUGCUCUUCCAAACAUGGAUGACUUUUCCACAGGAAAAAGAAAAGAGGCUCUGAAGACACACGUGCGCCAGAGCCUGCUGCCACUCUCCUUCCACUGCCAUGAUGAGAACCAGCGAGUGGCAGAGGCUUCUCAGGAAACGCUGCUUUGUGCGGCCGAGUUCCUGAAGAGGAGGGAUCUU